Rhipicephalus sanguineus (brown dog tick) is the source of this 1009-nucleotide long non-coding RNA. RefSeq lists it as uncharacterized. The transcript is spliced from 6 exons. NCBI's taxonomy places the organism in Eukaryota, Metazoa, Arthropoda, Arachnida, Ixodida, Ixodidae. The record is from RefSeq and is a predicted model, not a curated record.
GGUGUUUGGCAGACCUUCGCGACGAUAGGAAAGCUGUUGGUGCGGCUACAUUGAUGACGAGGAGCGCCGAUGGAAGCAUCGUUAUGGAAGCACUCUGUGUGUAUUCAGUAGCCGAAUUUAAUCAUGCUAUUGCGGUACGACUGACACUCUAGACUCCGGUUGGGCAGAACAGCGGUGAGAAGAAAACCAGUAUCAAGAUCGUUGGCCCAUGGCGCGAACUGGUUUCCAUCUUUGUUUCUGACAAUUCUGUGCUUUCAGGUAAAAUUGAGCUUCAAUACUAUUCGUAGCCUGCCUCUAGAUGAUCCAGAAGGCGUUACAACAAUAGCCGACGUGCAGCGAAUCGGAGAAGCAAAGCUGGAUGAAAGUAGCCGGAGCUAUAUUGGCAGCGGCGCAGGCGAAGAACAGACCUUGAGAGAGAAUAUUAGGGCAUUCAAGAGACUCCGCUUUCGGCCUCGUAUUCUUGUUGACGUUUCUCAGCCCAACACCAGCACCACAGUUCUGGGAGAGAAAAUUGCGUUUCCGAUUGGGUUCUCACCGUCGGCAGCGCAUAGGAUUGCAGACGACGAAGGAGAAAAGGCUACAGCGCAAGCUGCUCAAGAGGCUGGAACAGUAAUGAUACUGAGUGCCAUGAGCUCCACGACGCUGGAAGACGUGAGGGCCAGUGCUCCCAACUUGACCCUGUGGCAACAAUUAUACAUAUUUGGCAAUCGCUCCCUGACCGAGUCACUUGCGAGGAGAGCCGAAAGACAAGCUUUUUCCGCCAUCGUGCUCACCGUAGAUUCACCCACCACUGCACAAACGUCCAUUGUGACCAAAAGCCAAUUCCAACUUCCUGAAGGCAUUAGUCUCGCAAACCUCGAGGCAUCUUUUCCCGGUCAUUCUUUCAAUUUCGAUCCAAGCAGUGAAUAUUAUCUAGGAAACUACCAUACAGCCACGGCUACAUGGGAUGACGUGCUUUGGUUGAGAGGCGUCACAGAUCUUCCUAUUGUCGCCAAGGGCAUCCUCACAC